CUACGGGACGCAGCAGUGGGGAAUAUUGCACAAUGGAGGAAACUCUGAUGCAGCAACGCCGCGUGGAGGAUGACACUUUUCGGAGCGUAAACUCCUUUUAUAUAGGAAGAAGAUGACGGUACUAUAUGAAUAAGCGCCGGCUAACUCCGUGCCAGCAGCCGCGGUAAUACGGAGGGCGCAAGCGUUACUCGGAAUCACUGGGCGUAAAGAGCGUGUAGGCGGAUUAAAAAGUCAGAAGUGAAAUCCUAUAGCUUAACUAUGGAACUGCUUCUGAAACUCUUAAUCUAGAAUAUGGGAGAGGUAGAUGGAAUUUCUGGUGUAGGGGUAAAAUCCGUAGAGACCAGAAGGAAUACCGAUUGCGAAGGCGAUCUACUAGAACAUUAUUGACGCUGAGACGCGAAAGCGUGGGGAGCAAACAGGAUUAGAUACCCUGGUAGUC
This 439-nucleotide ribosomal RNA is filed under the name uncultured bacterium. Its description in RNAcentral is "partial 16S ribosomal RNA". It matches the Rfam family "Bacterial small subunit ribosomal RNA", at positions 339 to 795 of the family's 1533-position model. The record is from RNAcentral.